CCUUCCGUGCCGCAGUUAACACAAUAAGUAAUCCACCUGGGGAGUACGCCGCAAGGUUGAAACUCAAAGGAAUUGACGGGGGCCCGCACAAGCGGUGGAGCAUGUGGUUUAAUUCGAAGCAACGCGAAGAACCUUACCAGAUCUUGAGAUCCGGAUGAAUACGUGGUAAUGCAUGUAGACCUUCGGGACAUCCGAGACAGGUGGUGCAUGGUUGUCGUCAGCUCGUGUCGUGAGAUGUUGGGUUAAGUCCCGCAACGAGCGCAACCCUUGUCCAUAGUAGCCAGCAGUAAGAUGGGAACUCUAUGGAGACUGCCAGGGAUAACCUGGAGGAAGGUGGGGAUGACGUCAAAUCAUCAUGCCCCUUAUGAUCUGGGCCACACACGUGCUACAAUGUCGUAACAAAGGGACGCGACCCCGCGAGGGUGAGCAAAUCUCAAAAAUAACGACCCAGUUCGGACUGUAGGCUGCAACCCGCCUGCACGAAGCUGGAAUCGCUAGUAAUCGCAGAUCAGAAUGCUGCGGUGAAUACGUUCCCGGGUCUUGUACACACCGCCCGUCACACCAUGAGAGUCGGGAACACCCGAAGUCCGUAGUCUAACCGCAAGGAGGGCGCGGCCGAAGGUGGGCUUGAUAAUUGGGGUG
This 642-nucleotide ribosomal RNA is filed under the name uncultured bacterium. RNAcentral's name for it is "bacterial SSU rRNA". It matches the Rfam family "Bacterial small subunit ribosomal RNA", at positions 837 to 1482 of the family's 1533-position model. The record is from RNAcentral.